GGGCCCGCACAAGCGGUGGAGCAUGUGGUUUAAUUCGAUGAUACGCGAGGAACCUUACCAGGGCUUAAAUGUAGGUUGCAUGAUCUAGAGAUAGAUCUUUCUUCGGACUACCUACAAGGUGCUGCAUGGUUGUCGUCAGCUCGUGCCGUGAGAUGUUCGGUUAAGUCCGGCAACGAGCGCAACCCCUGUCGUUAGUUGCCAUCAAUUCGGUUGGGCACUCUAGCGAGGACUCCCGGUGUUAAGCCGGCGGAAGAUGGGGAUGACGUCAAGUCCUCAUGGCCCUUAUGUCUGGGGCUACACACGUACUACAAUGGUCGGUACAGAAAGCAGCCACUAUGCGAAUAGGAGCUAA
This 352-nucleotide ribosomal RNA is filed under the name uncultured bacterium. Its description in RNAcentral is "bacterial SSU rRNA". It matches the Rfam family "Bacterial small subunit ribosomal RNA", at positions 917 to 1271 of the family's 1533-position model. The record is from RNAcentral.